AGUUCGAUUCUGGCUCAGAUUGAACGCUGGCGGGAUGCUUUACACAUGCAAGUAAGUCGAACGGCAGCACGGACUUCGGUCUGGUGGCGAGUGGCGAACGGGUGAGUAAUGUAUCGGAACGUGUCAGUAGCGUGGAUAACUACGCUGAAAGCGUAGCUAAUACCGCAUACGCCUCGGGGGCGCGACCUUCGGCCUCGCAUCGCACAGGAGCGGCCGAUAUCGGAUUAGCUAGUUGGUGGGGUAACGGCUCACCAAGGCGAUGAUCCGUGGCGCUGUUUGAGAGACGACCAGCCACACUGGGACUGAGAUACGGCCCAGAUCUGGCUGGAGGCAGGUGUAAAUCUUGGACAAUGGGAAACCUGAUCCAGCCAUCCCGCGCGUGACAGCACAGCCUUCGGGGCUGGCAGCACCUUUGGCAGAGGAAAUGCACGGGAUAAUACCUCGUGCAACUGACGGUACCUGCACGGGCGCACCGGCUAACUACGCCAGCAGCCGCGGUAAUAGCGAGGGCAAGCGUUAAUCGGAAUUACUGGGCGCAAAGCGUGCGCAGGCGGUUCGGAAAAACAGAGCGGAAAUCAGAGCGAACUUUUGGAACUGCAUUUUUAACUACCGAGCUAGAGGCCAGAGGAGGUGAAUCGGGCAAGCAGUGAAAUGCAGAUAUGCGAGGAACAAUUGAUAAGGCGCAGCCUCGGGAUAACACUGAUUACGUAUCGAAAGUGGGGAGCAAACAGGAUUAGAUACCCUGGUAGUCCACGCCCUAAAACGAUGUCAACUAGCUGUUGGGUCGGCCUGGUAGCGCAGCUAACGCGGAAGCUGACCGCCUGGGGAGUAUGGUCGUAAGAUUAAACCUAAAGGAAUUGACGGGGAUCUGCACAAGCGGUGGAUGAUGUGAUUAGACUGAUGCAACGCGAAAACUUACCGCAUCUUUGAUAUGUCUGGAAUCCCGAAGAGAUUUAGGAGUGCUCGCAAGAGAACCGGAACACAGGUGCUGUACGGCUUGCCGUCAAACGUGUCGUGAGAUGUUGGUUAAGUCCCAACGAGCGUAACCCGUCAUUAGUUACAAGGAGCGCACUUACUUUGAGACUGUUGGUGGACAACCGAGGAAGGUGGGGAUGACGUCAAGUCCUCAUGGCCCCGGCGUAAAUACACGUCAUACAAUGGCUGGACAGAGUCGCCAACCUGCGAGGGGGAGCUAAUCCCCGCAGAAACCGAUCAGAGUCCGGAUCGCAGUCUGCAACUGACUGCGUGAAGUCGAAAUCGCCAGUAACGACCAUGUCGCGGUGCAUUACGUUCCCGGGCCUUAAAGACAACGCCCGUCACACCAUGGAGUGGGUUUUACCAGAAGUAGUUAGCCUAACCGUAAGGAGGCGAUUACCACGGUAGGAUUCAUGACUGGGCAGUCGUACAGCAGCUCUGCAGCACACCUGAUGCUCCU
RNAcentral lists this ribosomal RNA (1435 nucleotides) under uncultured Bordetella sp. RNAcentral describes it as "partial 16S-23S ribosomal RNA intergenic spacer". It matches the Rfam family "Bacterial small subunit ribosomal RNA". Lineage: Bacteria; Pseudomonadati; Pseudomonadota; Betaproteobacteria; Burkholderiales; Alcaligenaceae. The record is from RNAcentral.